RNAcentral lists this unclassified non-coding RNA (1292 nucleotides) under Hevea brasiliensis (rubber tree). The record is from RNAcentral. Lineage: Eukaryota; Viridiplantae; Streptophyta; Magnoliopsida; Malpighiales; Euphorbiaceae.
GGCCCAGAAAUAUGGAGAGACUCAAGAGGGAAAGUUGAUGCCCUGGUUGCAGGGAUCGGUACAGGUGGUACUGCAACUGGAGCUGGAAGAUUCCUCAAGGAGAAAAACAAAGAGAUUAAGGUUUCUUUUGUGUGUCUGUAUUUUGAGAGGGAGAGAGAAUUAUGAUUAUAUAAGUUAAUGGAGUGCUUUCUUUUGUUUUUGCUUUAGGUGUAUGGUAUAGAACCAGUAGAAAGUGCAGUCUUGAGUGGAGGAAAACAUGGUGAGUGGUAAAUUUUUAUUGGUUUCUUGUUCUUUCUUGGGGCAGAUACAUUCUUGCAGAAGUACACGGGAUUUAUAAGUACCAGUGUUUAGGUUCUACUCAUUCUAGUGCUUUCCAUCAUUUGGAGAUGUCACAGCACCUGAAAUUUAGUGAAUUCAAUAUUAUACGAAUCAAACCAUAAAUGAUACUAGUGAAUAGAUGUCUUUUUUAUGAUAUAUUAGUUGGGAUUAUUUGCCAGUGAUGAAGCAGAUAACAGUUUCCUGGUUUCAGUAAUGGCUUGUGAAGUACCGGUACUCUUAGGCAGAUAAGGGCUUAAACUAAGUUAACAAUUGAAGAGACUUUGAGAGAUGCUAUAAGAAAUUAUCUCUUAUGGUCCAAGUUCCUGUUUUACCUGCUUCUAAUUUUAAAUUCUCAUACUGCUCUUAGUCCAUGAUUAUGCGCUAGACUUGAACAAUAUUGUGUUAUAUCUAAACCAUUUUUUAUCUAAUUCCUUUUAAGAUGGACAGUGUUAUGAUUAUUGACUGUUCCUCUCUCUGGGAAUAUUGCUUGCUAUCUCUGUCAAAGGCCCGCAUCUGAUCCAAGGAAUUGGAGCUGGUAUCAUCCCUAGUGUUUUGGACGUUAACAUGCUGGAUGGAGUUUUUCAAGUAAGUCUAAAAUCAUUUCUUCUGGCAUUUUCUUUGAAUUGACCUGAAAAUCAUCUGCUUGGAUUCAACUCCUAUUCAGCAUUUAGAAAUGUGGUGCUGCCACUAUAAAGUUGCAGCACUAGGCAAAAAUUUAAUUAUGAAGAACUGAUAUCAUUAUUUUCAAUCUUCUCAAUGACACAAAAGGAUACAUAAUAGACAAGCAAAUUCUGACCGUCUACAUUGAUAAUCGAACUCCAUUAAAUGGCUUUAAAUGUCAAUUAAAUUUUCAUUAGAGAAGGGCUUAUAUAGGUUUUACACACCCAUACACAUGGAUGCAUGGCCAUACAAAAUAUCAUUUUUUUACUUUUGAUGGUGGUAUUACCUUUAGGUAUCAAGUGAGGAAGCUAUUG